This is a long non-coding RNA of Clupea harengus (Atlantic herring), 593 nucleotides long. NCBI's taxonomy places the organism in Eukaryota, Metazoa, Chordata, Actinopteri, Clupeiformes, Clupeidae. The record is from Ensembl.
AUGCUGUGGCUACUACCCCAGCACCUAAUCCACACAACCAGACAACAUCUGCACAAACUGAAGUUACUGAUGGAGCCAGUGAAGAUGCUGUGGACCGCCAAAGUGAUGAUGUGGUUGUAGCCACAACACCCGAUCACCACAACCAGACACAACAAUCAAUCCAGACACAACAAUCUGCCCAUACUUCAGCUGGUGGUGGUGCAAGUGAAGAUGCUGUGGCUACUACCCCACCACCUAAUCCACACAACCAGACAACUUCUGCACAAACUGAAGUUACAGGUGGUGCAAGUGAAGAUGCUGUGGCUACUACCCCACCACCUAAUCCACACAACCAGACAACUUCUGCACAAACUGAAGUUACAGAUGGAGCCAGUGGAAGAUGCUGUGGACCGCCAAAGUGAUGAUGUGGUUGUCACCCACAACACCCAAUCCCCACAACCAGACCACAUCUGCCCAUACUGAAGCUGGUGAUGGAGCAAGUGAAGAUGCUGUGGCUACCACCCCAACACCAAAUCCCCCAACUACAUCUGACCACACUGCAGCUACCGAUGACCCAAGUGAGGGUGCUGUGGCUGCCCAAACUGGAACUACUG